Molecule: non-coding RNA, 1346 nt
Organism: Pelodiscus sinensis (Chinese soft-shelled turtle)
Lineage: Eukaryota; Metazoa; Chordata; Testudines; Trionychidae
Source: RefSeq, a predicted model, not a curated record
GAGACACUGGCUGCUCUCCCUCAGCGACAGCAGCAGAGGACAGAAGUGCCCCUCCCCCAGCCAGUCAGCUCUGUAUGCAGAGCCCUGAGUCCCUGGCUGGGUGGGGGCUCAUUAAGCAGCUGUGGGGUCGUGCUGCUGCACACCUUGGAGGGAACCCUGGUUGAAAGGAAACAUGUGGAGCACCAACGAGUUCUAGUCAUGAUUGUACAUCAGAUCCAGAGGGCCCGAUUCCUAGAUAUAGAACUCGGCUAAUAAGAAUUGCUACUGAUUCUAAACAACAGGAAGCAACAAGUGUGAGCCACAGUCGUGAAGGAGCCAACCUCAGUCUGUUUAUGCCAUGACACAUCCUAGCAUCCAUUGUCAGAUACAGUCUCCUCUUGAAGCAGAUGCCUGGUCACGUUGAAUGACAUGAACCAUCUUAAAAGGAAUGUCACAGUGACAAGUCCCAGAGCCACCACAUUGACCCUGGCAAACAAGAGCUUAACAUCAGUGAAGGCUGAUGGAGGUGCUCCAGGAAGGAACUCAAAGCACCUCCUCCAGCAACAGGAGGCAACAAUCACUGGGGAAAGAAUGGGCUCUGAGCUCAGCUCUAGAAGCUGGAAGGACUCCAGACACUGCAGUGUGACAGCUAAACCAAGGAACAUCGGAUGCGAUGGAAUUGCUCUACAAGCAACCUUGCCAAAGGCCCUUUUGCUGCACAAAGCUGGCUCUAUCUUUGUAUAUUGAGGGAGCUAAAUCAAUGUUAAAUGCUUGGCUCUUUUCACAGGACAAUGACCAGGACCUAAGCUGCGUCCUUCCUUUUUGAUUGACACUUGAAACGUUGAGUUGGAAUCAGCCAGAGGCACUGCUACAAGCUUGAAGCCUCUGCUGGGGAUAACAACUGGUGACAUCUGCAGAAAGGCCGACAAAAGGCAGUUGAAAGCUGUGUUUGUUGCUUUCCCCUCUCAGAUCUCCUCCCUUUCAUGGAGCUCCUUACUUGCUUUAAUAUUAUGAUUCAGCACCUGGCUCUUUUGAACCUUGCUUUAAACUUCAAAAGGCGAGGUGGUAUUAACAAACAUGAAACGAAAAAGUGGCGGUAGUUUGAUUUACUGUUGUCGUCUUAUCAAGGGGGUUUUUUGUCACCAGCUGCCACUUUCUGUCAUCUUUGGAACCAUUAUCAUUUCUCUAAAAUCUAAAAGACUCCACUUAAUAACAGCUUUGAAUACAGGCAGGAUCUGUAACAUACACAGUUCUGGGGAUGACAGGACCAUCAAAUGAAAAGAAAGAUGUUGCCAAAAAAAAAAAAAAAUUAAAACAAAUAAAAGCUGUAGUACUUUUAAGUGACCUUGAUUUCAGAAUUAAACAAA